GAUCAGCUCAGGAUGAACGCUAGCUACAGGCUUAACACAUGCAAGUCGAGGGGCAGCAUGUUGGUUGCUUGCAACCAAUGAUGGCGACCGGCGCACGGGUGAGUAACGCGUAUCCAACCUACCCUUGUCCAUCGGAUAACCCGUCGAAAGGCGGCCUAACACGAUAUGCGGUUCACAGCAGGCAUCUAACGUGAACGAAAUGUAAAGGAGAAGGAUGGGGAUGCGU
RNAcentral lists this ribosomal RNA (226 nucleotides) under uncultured bacterium. RNAcentral's name for it is "partial 16S ribosomal RNA". It matches the Rfam family "Bacterial small subunit ribosomal RNA", at positions 15 to 236 of the family's 1533-position model. The record is from RNAcentral.